UGCGUAGGUGGCAAGCGUUGUCCGGAUUUAUUGGGCGUAAAGCGAGCGCAGGCGGUCAAUUAAGUCUGAUGUGAAAGCCCCCGGCUCAACCGGGGAGGGUCAUUGGAAACUGGUUGACUUGAGUGCAGAAGAGGAGAGUGGAAUUCCAUGUGUAGCGGUGAAAUGCGUAGAUAUAUGGAGGAACACCAGUGGCGAAGGCGACUCUCUGGUCUGUAACUGACGCUGAGGCUCGAAAGCGUGGGUAGCAAACAGG
Molecule: ribosomal RNA, 253 nt
Filed under: uncultured bacterium
Lineage: Bacteria
Description: partial 16S ribosomal RNA
Rfam family: Bacterial small subunit ribosomal RNA
Source: RNAcentral